ACAGGAUGUACCAUAAUUACAUAUAUGAUGUUUGACUGACUGUAGUAUUUGUAAUUCUGGGCAAAAAGGCUCGAUAUGGUAACACCGUGUAGCCUGAGAGUGGAGAUAAUGGUCACUGGACUUAGAACCAUUAGUGUAUGCCAGACAGGAUGGCAGAAUGGUUCUGACAACAUUGCUCUUCGUCUCCAGGCAUAUAUCGUUUUGGAAGGUGCAUUGGUAGACCAUGCUAUGGAGAACAGAGAUUAAAAUUGUUUUAAGGAAAGGUAUGAGAGUAACAUGUUUAUGUUCAAGUUAUAUUGCUAGUUUCUUUACCACAGUCUUUGAAACAUCAUAUACAUAAUUAUGGACCAGCUGGCAGUUUUCAAUUUUAUGAAUUUAUUCAUUUUUCCUGGAUGUGUUUAUAAAAUAAAGAACUUGCAAACCAAAAAUCAAUUUCCCUUUAUGCCUAAUGUUGUUAGAGGUUUUGUUCUCAGAAAUGCAAUUUUACCAGCAAUAAAAUCAAUAGUUUAUGAUGAAAAAAUGAUUUAUUUAUCUAAAGAAAUC
RNAcentral lists this long non-coding RNA (543 nucleotides) under Androctonus crassicauda. The record is from RNAcentral. Lineage: Eukaryota; Metazoa; Arthropoda; Arachnida; Scorpiones; Buthidae.